This 72-nucleotide transfer RNA is filed under the name Candidatus Wolfebacteria bacterium. Its description in RNAcentral is "tRNA-Arg". It matches the Rfam family "tRNA". From Rfam's summary of the family: Transfer RNA (tRNA) molecules are approximately 80 nucleotides in length. Their secondary structure includes four short double-helical elements and three loops (D, anti-codon, and T loops). Lineage: Bacteria; Candidatus Wolfeibacteriota. The record is from RNAcentral.
GCUUCCAUAGUUUAACGGAUAAAAUUCAUCCUUGCGGAGGAUGUGCUCCAGGUUCGAUUCCUGGUGGAAGCA